Molecule: ribosomal RNA, 440 nt
Filed under: uncultured bacterium
Lineage: Bacteria
Description: partial 16S ribosomal RNA
Rfam family: Bacterial small subunit ribosomal RNA
Source: RNAcentral
CCUACGGGAGGCUGCAGUGGGGGAUAUUGCACAAUGGGGGGAACCCUGAUGCAGCGACGCCGCGUGGGUGAAGAAGCGCCUCGGCGCGUAAAGCCCUGUCAGCAGGGAAGAAAAUGACGGUACCUGACGAAGAAGCCCCGGCUAACUACGUGCCAGCAGCCGCGGUAAUACGUAGGGGGCAAGCGUUAUCCGGAUUUACGGGGUGUAAAGGGGGCGCAGACGGCGAUGCAAGCCAGGAGUGAAAGCCCGGGGCCCAACCCCGGGACUGCUGUUGGAACUGCGUGGCUGGAGUGCAGGAGGGGCAGGCGGAAUUCCUGGUGUAGCGGUGAAAUGCGUAGAUAUCAGGAGGAACACCGGUGGCGAAGGCGGCCUGCUGGACUGCAACUGACGUUGAGGCCCGAAAGCGUGGGGAGCAAACAGGAUUAGAUACCCCGGUAGUC